AGUGAACGCUGGCGGUAGGCCUAACACAUGCAAGUCGAACGGCAGCACAGUAAGAGCUUGCUCUUACGGGUGGCGAGUGGCGGACGGGUGAGGAAUACAUCGGAAUCUACUUUUUCGUGGGGGAUAACGUAGGGAAACUUACGCUAAUACCGCAUACGACCUACGGGUGAAAGCAGGGGAUCUUCGGACCUUGCGCGAUUGAAUGAGCCGAUGUCGGAUUAGCUAGUUGGCGGGGUAAAGGCCCACCAAGGCGACGAUCCGUAGCUGGUCUGAGAGGAUGAUCAGCCACACUGGAACUGAGAACCGGUCCGGCCCCCUACGGGAGGCAGCAGUGGGAAAUAUUGGACAAUGGGCGCAAGCCUAAUCCAGCCAUACCGCGUGGGUGAAGAAGGCCUCCGGGUUGUAAAGCCCUUUUGUUGGGAAAGAAAAGCAGCAGGUUAAUACCCCGCUGUUCUGACGGUACCCAAGAAUAAGCACCGGCUAACUUCGUG
RNAcentral lists this ribosomal RNA (491 nucleotides) under uncultured bacterium. RNAcentral's name for it is "partial 16S ribosomal RNA". It matches the Rfam family "Bacterial small subunit ribosomal RNA", at positions 29 to 507 of the family's 1533-position model. The record is from RNAcentral.